RNAcentral lists this ribosomal RNA (168 nucleotides) under Photonectes albipennis. RNAcentral's name for it is "partial 12S rRNA". The record is from RNAcentral. Lineage: Eukaryota; Metazoa; Chordata; Actinopteri; Stomiiformes; Stomiidae.
CACCGCGGUUAGACGAAAGGCCCAAGUUGACAGACACCGGCGUAAAGGGUGGACAAAAGGACAAAAAACUAAAGCCGAACAUCCCCCUGGCUGUUAUAAGCACUCGGAGGAAUGAAGCCCCACCACGAAAGUGGCUUUACCUUGCCUGAACCCACGACAGCUAAGAAA